This 254-nucleotide ribosomal RNA is filed under the name uncultured prokaryote. RNAcentral's name for it is "partial 16S ribosomal RNA". It matches the Rfam family "Bacterial small subunit ribosomal RNA", at positions 525 to 777 of the family's 1533-position model. The record is from RNAcentral.
ACGGGGGGGGCAAGCGUUGUUCGGAAUUACUGGGCGUAAAGGGCUCGUAGGCGGCCAACUAAGUCCGACGUGAAAUCCCAAGGCUUAACCUUGGAACUGCGUCAGAUACUGGAUGGCUUGAAUUCGGGAGAGGGAUGCAGAAUUCCAGGUGUAGCGGUGAAAUGCGUAGAUAUCGAGAGGAACACCUGCGGCGAAGGCGGGUUGCUGGGCUGACACUGACGCUGACAGCGCGAAAGCUAGGGGAGCGAACGGGA